AGCCAGGGUAAUCAUCAAGGUAUGAACUUAUUUUCUGGCAGGUCACAAUGGAAAAUAAGUGUUGAUUUAGUACAACUAGGGUAGGCCGUACUUUUAUACUUCUGUGAACUGCACGCCACUGCUAGUAGGUAGCCUAUAAUUGAUUCAU
Molecule: long non-coding RNA, 148 nt
Organism: Maniola jurtina (meadow brown)
Lineage: Eukaryota; Metazoa; Arthropoda; Insecta; Lepidoptera; Nymphalidae
Exons: 3
Source: RefSeq, a predicted model, not a curated record